AAGGAUGGCAUCCUAUGACGGCCAAAUCUACAAAUUUGUUGUUGCUACUCCCAUUAUUCAUUCAAUGGUCUCAUUCACACUUGAUCACAAUAAGGUGGUUCAUGACGAGUGCCCACCUACCGAAUAAAAGAAGCAAGUUAGUACACAGAGUCUUCCCUCGCCCAAUUAACCUGCUUUGCUUCGCUCGCUUCCAUUUUGUUUCUAUACUUUAUUGGUCUUAUAAUACCUUUUGUUUAUAUUCAUGGUAGUUGUUGAUAUUUUUACUUAGCGUUAAAGUUUAUGUAUAAGAAAUCUAUGAUGUUAAUAAUGGCAGACCGGUUGUAAUCUAUUUUGUUACUGUUUCAUGUUUCUUUACGUGCAUACUGCAGUCGCUACACUCAUAAGUUAGUUCACUUAAAAAUUUGUUUAUGUGUGUUCAUUUACCUUCAUUUAUCUAUGUUUAAGUUCGUUUAAUAGUCAUUUCAAGUUUUUAGGCAGUUACAAUUUAGUCUGGUUUUAUUUAAUUUAUUGUAGCAUAUUGUAAUAUGAUUUAAGGUUUUCAUAUGGUAGUGAGUUCUCUCAAUGAUUUUUAUGGGUUAGUCAUGUAUGGAGAGUCAUGCGUGCACAUAUGUUAAGAUAUUUGAUUUGACUAACUCAUAGCCGUUGCUUAUGUUUACUUGCUUAAACCUGUUGUAGACAAGAAACUACUAAGGGGAAGGGCGACUACAUGGGCAUGCAUUAGCGGCAGAAGAUUUCGUGAAUUAUUGAAUAAACCGGAAGCUUUAUGAACUCCUUUAAGUUUUUUUCCUGUAAUGUAUGUUUUUAGACUUGGCAUACAAGUUUGUUCUUAAACACAUUCCGCAAACAAAGUUUCCUGUGCUAUGCACGCCUUAAAUUUUGUGUGGCUGGCUUAUGGUACAAGCUCUUAUGACGUUUUGUAUGGC
Molecule: long non-coding RNA, 923 nt
Organism: Helianthus annuus (common sunflower)
Lineage: Eukaryota; Viridiplantae; Streptophyta; Magnoliopsida; Asterales; Asteraceae
Exons: 2
Source: RefSeq, a predicted model, not a curated record